GGCGGAUAGGGGCACUGGCGUGCCCGGCGGUCUCAUAAACCGUUUCAGGCGGGUUCGAUUCCCGCAUCCGCCA
This 73-nucleotide transfer RNA is filed under the name Actinomadura parmotrematis. Its description in RNAcentral is "Actinomadura sp. PM05-2 tRNA-Met". It matches the Rfam family "tRNA". From Rfam's summary of the family: Transfer RNA (tRNA) molecules are approximately 80 nucleotides in length. The record is from RNAcentral. Lineage: Bacteria; Bacillati; Actinomycetota; Actinomycetes; Streptosporangiales; Thermomonosporaceae.